This is a long non-coding RNA of Alligator mississippiensis (American alligator), 400 nucleotides long. RefSeq lists it as uncharacterized. The transcript has 3 exons. Lineage: Eukaryota; Metazoa; Chordata; Crocodylia; Alligatoridae. The record is from RefSeq and is a predicted model, not a curated record.
AGAUGCUUCUCAUUCUUUUCUCCUUGAAGCCUUUUAGUUGGAAAUAUUGCAGAAAUGAAUCCAUUGAUACCCUUUCAGCAGAUGCUAUCUUCAAAUGUGUUUAAUACUUAUUCUCUUCCUUUUCUCACUACAGCACAGAAAGCAAUAACCCUCUCUGAGGCGGACUAUCAAGGUGAAAUACUGUGCAGCAUCUAACUUCAACAGUGGAGGCACAGCGUUAAAUCAGAAGCAGGGAAUAACUUUCCAUAGCUGACCAAGUUGGAGAACAUGGAGACAAACUCAGAGCCAAAGCUGGAGAAGAGAAUUUAUCACAAGAACUAGUGCUAUCUUGCUGACAACCCGAUCCUCCUCAUCCUGGCCUUACUCCCCUAUUCUACAGCCUGGAGAAUAAUUAAAACUC